Molecule: ribosomal RNA, 238 nt
Filed under: uncultured bacterium
Lineage: Bacteria
Description: partial 16S ribosomal RNA
Rfam family: Bacterial small subunit ribosomal RNA
Source: RNAcentral
CGGCGGACGGGUGAGUAACGCGUGGGUAACCUGCCUCAUACAGGGGGAUAACAGUUGGAAGCGGCUGCUAAUACCGCAUAAGCGCACAGUACCGCAUGGUACCGUGUGAAAAACUCCGGUGGUAUGAGAUGGACCCGCGUCUGAUUAGCUAGUUGGUGGGGUAACGGCCUACCAAGGCGACGAUCAGUAGCCGACCUGAGAGGGUGACCGGCCACAUUGGGACUGAGACACGGCCCAA